This 253-nucleotide ribosomal RNA is filed under the name uncultured bacterium. RNAcentral's name for it is "partial 16S ribosomal RNA". It matches the Rfam family "Bacterial small subunit ribosomal RNA", at positions 524 to 776 of the family's 1533-position model. The record is from RNAcentral.
UACGUAGGGUGCGAGCGUUGUCCGGAAUUAUUGGGCGUAAAGAGCUCGUAGGCGGUCUGUCGCGUCGAAUGUGAAAACCCGGGGCUCAACUCCGGGCUUGCAUUCGAUACGGGCAGGCUUGAGUUCGGUAGGGGAGUCUGGAAUUCCUGGUGUAGCGGUGAAAUGCGCAGAUAUCGGGAAGAACACCCGUGGCGAAGGCGGCACUCUGGGACGGUACUGACGCUGAGACGCGAAAGCGUGGGGAGCGAACAGG